Molecule: ribosomal RNA, 543 nt
Filed under: uncultured bacterium
Lineage: Bacteria
Description: bacterial SSU rRNA
Rfam family: Bacterial small subunit ribosomal RNA
Source: RNAcentral
UGGGGAAUAUUGGACAAUGGGCGAAAGCCUGAUCCAGCCAUGCCCGGUGUGUGAAGAAGGCCUUUUGGUUGUAAAGCACUUUAAGUGGGGAGGAAAAGCUUAUGGUUAAUACCCAUAAGCCCUGACGUUACCCAAAAAAUAAGCACCGGCUAACUCUGUGCCAGCAGCCGCGGUAAUACAGAGGGUGCAAGCGUUAAUCGGAAUUACUGGGCGUAAAGCGCGCGUAGGUGGUUAUUUAAGUCAGAUGUGAAAGCCCCGGGCUUAACCUGGGAACUGCAUCUGAUACUGGAUAACUAGAGUAGGUGAGAGGGGAGUAGAAUUCCAGGUGUAGCGGGAAAUGCGUAGAGAUCUGGAGGAAUACCGAUGGCGAAGGCAGCUCCCUGGCAUCAUACUGACACUGAGGUGCGAAAGCGUGGGUAGCAAACAGGAUUAGAUACCCUGGUAGUCCACGCCGUCGAUGUCUACCAGUCGUUGGGUCUUUUAAAGACUUAGUGACGCAGUUACCAAUAAUAAGACCGCCUGGGGAGUACGGCCGCAAGGUAA